Molecule: ribosomal RNA, 195 nt
Filed under: Triticum aestivum (bread wheat)
Lineage: Eukaryota; Viridiplantae; Streptophyta; Magnoliopsida; Poales; Poaceae
Description: partial small subunit ribosomal RNA
Source: RNAcentral
AUGGUGUUGCUGGCUCCGGCGACAGUAAGCGCCGAGCAGGAGGAUGGGGCCACAACCAUCGCCACCUUGCAGGUCUUGGAGGAGGUCGGCUCGCGUGCCGAUGACCAUGGCAACGACGAUUGCGACAUCAAGUGCGCCUAUUACCAAGAUCUGGCCAGGAGACAGUUCUGUGUGGACCAGUGCCACAGCCAGUAG